Molecule: long non-coding RNA, 2301 nt
Filed under: Malus domestica (apple)
Lineage: Eukaryota; Viridiplantae; Streptophyta; Magnoliopsida; Rosales; Rosaceae
Description: long non-coding RNA (MDOM_LNC000029)
Source: RNAcentral
UAGCCUCUUGAACUUUAAAUUCGUCCAUCCAUCUUGCUCCAUUCAUAAGCUAUCCAUUUGGUGCCCCAUACUGCCUCAAAAUGCUCCAAAUUGCACUUUCUUGCCAACUUUGUCAUAUGGACCUACAAACACACGAAAAUAGCUUAAAACACUAUAAUAAGUAGAAACUAACUAUGAAAAUGCAAGAAAACAAGCUAACUAAGUCGCAUAAAUAUGCUCCUAUUAAGUCACACCAAUGACUCGAGACCAGUCACUUUCCCUAAGAGAAGACAUAGCACGUACUGAUCCUAACGGACUGUCAAUACCCAAUUGGCAAUCCUAUGAUCAGGAACGUUUAAGAUAUGUAUACAAAAGAGAAUGGUCUCAUGAUUCUAAAUUCUUUAGAUCACAUUCUCCCAAUUACAUAUUCCUUGGACUUAUCGUUUAAGCAUAUAACAUUUAUAUGACACGGCUUAAACAAUAAUCUUUGCCCUUUAUAUUAACCCAGAUUAGUUUAACAUGUGAAAUGUCCGUAAAGUAUCAUCAUAUGACUGGUUUUAGGGCACAUUUCCAACAAUCUCCCACUUGCACUAGAGCCAAUCAGCUUGGUCGUCUGUGAUGAUACCUCUUCCGAAUUCAUUUUAAAAAAUGGCUGAUUAGUAGGCCUUGACAAUGGAUAUCUAUAUGUUAUCUAUAGAAACAACCUUGAGAAUACCAAAGUCACCAUUAUGCAUGAUUCUCAAUCAUGUGGUUUAGGUUCUCAUUUGGGUUCGGAUCUUGAUGAGACCUUGAUUCCCUAGCUUGAGCUAUCGCCACAAUAGUGUCAUAAUGUCGGUACACUAGAGACACUUUCUAGUUGGAACUGAAUAAAGAGUUCAAAAAUUAACUUUCUAAUCCAAACAACAUUGUUGUAAGCUUCUAUAUGACGAUAUAUUUUGCAUGCAUGAUGGAACACACUAAAGUCAUUACUUUUAAUGUUUCCAGCCAAAUAUCUCUUUAGUCAUAAUAAAGAGAUAUCCAAUAAUCUCUUCAUUCAAAAUGAAAAGACAUCGAAUAAUGGAUACGAUAUUAGAUUCAUAAAUGCACUUAUGCUUCCAUUGCAUUACUCUAAUUCUUCCUCAUUCUUGAGGAAUCUAUCCUUUAGCAUUUCUUAAAUACUUAAGGACUCACUUGACAGUUGCCAUGGUUCUGAUCUUGGGCUUGCACUAAUAUCGCCUUGUACUGAUCUUGGUGCAACUCAUAUCAAUAUUUUUCAUACAAUAUGAAAUACGUAAAUCACCUUUCUGCAUAUGCAUAAAGGAUUCUAUUUACGCUUUAUGCUUCUUUGGGAGUCUAAAGGGCACAUUCCCUUUUAAAAGAGCAAUUUCCCAAUCUGAUUAGAAUUGUCCUUUCAUUUGAAGUUUAUCAUUUGAGAAACUUCCUGUUGGAAAUGUGCCCUAAAACCAAUCAUAUGAUGAUACUUUACGGACAUUUCACACGUUAAACUAAUAUAGUUUAAUUUAAAGGGCAAAGAUUAUAGUUUGAAGUCGUCUCAUAUAAAUGUUAUACGCUUAAACGAUAAGUCCAAGGAAUAUUUAAUUGGGAGAAUGCGAUCUAAAGAAGUUAGAUUCAUGAGACCAUUCUCUUUUGUAUACAUAUCCUAAACGUUCCUGAUCAUAGGAUUGCUAAUUGGGCAUUGACAGUCCGUUAAGAUCAGUACAUGCUAUAUCUUCUCUUAGGGAGAGUGACUGGUCUCGAGUCAUUGGUGUGACUGACACCAAGACAAGUACGUAGGUGCUCAAUAGAGAAUGAGUUCACUGAACGCGAUUAACAAGGAGUUCUCAUACUCAUGUCACAUGAGAACUCAUGGUUGGGAUAAUGCAAAGUAGUCCUUUGACCUGAGGCAUCAUAGUUGCCUUGUGGUUAGGUCCUUGAUCUUUGACUAUGUCAAAGUCACUUCAUCCGAGGGUGUCAACGACAUAGUUGGGGUUAAGCCACUUAGCCAUGGAGGCAAGUGAAUGCGCAACAAGGGAUCUCUAAUCUUCAAACUGUUUGAGGGAGAAUACUCUAUUAUAUGAUUAAGAAUCUCUAGCCAGAGUAUGAAUGAGAUUUAGGAAGUCGUUCCAAUGAGAUUUAGGAAGUCGUUCCAAAUCAUAUUCAAGGUAAUCAUAUAAGUAAAUGAAUCACAUUGGAUAGUAGACAUGAAUAAACUAUCAAACCAAACAAUGUGGUCAAUAGUAUUGUAUUAGAGAAAAACCGUAUUGCAUUGUAAUCCUAAACUGAAUAGGUUCUCCACCUCUUCUUAUUAGCUUGGGUAACCAUGACAUACUGCUAGGUGUCACU